GGAAGGUUGGCAGAGCUGGUUGAACGCAACGGUCUACUAAACCGUCAUACGCGAAAGCGUAUCGUGGGUUCGAAUCCCACACCUUCCACCA
Molecule: transfer RNA, 91 nt
Filed under: Salmonella enterica
Lineage: Bacteria; Pseudomonadati; Pseudomonadota; Gammaproteobacteria; Enterobacterales; Enterobacteriaceae
Also listed under: 8 other names
Description: tRNA-Ser
Rfam family: tRNA
About the family: Transfer RNA (tRNA) molecules are approximately 80 nucleotides in length.
Source: RNAcentral